RNAcentral lists this ribosomal RNA (301 nucleotides) under uncultured bacterium. RNAcentral describes it as "partial 16S ribosomal RNA". It matches the Rfam family "Bacterial small subunit ribosomal RNA", at positions 509 to 807 of the family's 1533-position model. The record is from RNAcentral.
CAGUAGCCGCGGGAAUACGAAGGGUGCAAGCGUUAAUCGGAAUUACUGGGCGUAAAGCGUGCGUAGGCGGUUUGUUAAGACAGAUGUGAAAUCCCCGGGCUCAACCUGGGAACUGCAUUUGUGACUGGCAAGCUAGAGUGUGGCAGAGGGGGGUGGAAUUCCGCGUGUAGCAGUGAAAUGCGUAGAUAUGCGGAGGAACAUCAGUGGCGAAGGCGGCCAUCUGGGACAACACUGACGCUGAGGCACGAAAGCGUGGGGAGCAAACAGGAUUAGAUACCCCUGUAGUCCCUGUCUCUUAUAC